UACGUAGGAUGCAAGCGUUGUCCGGAAUUAUUGGGCGUAAAGAGCGCGCAGGCGGUAACUCAAGUCAGAUGUGAAAUAUCCGGGCUUAACCCGGAGGGGUCAUUUGAAACUGAGUAACUAGAGUACAGCAGAGGAUAGCGGAAUUCCCGGUGUAGUGGUGAAAUGCGUAGAUAUCGGGAGGAACACCAGUGGCGAAGGCGGCUAUCUGGGCUGAAACUGACGCUGAGACGCGAAAGCGUGGGGAGCGAACAGG
RNAcentral lists this ribosomal RNA (253 nucleotides) under uncultured bacterium. Its description in RNAcentral is "partial 16S ribosomal RNA". It matches the Rfam family "Bacterial small subunit ribosomal RNA", at positions 524 to 776 of the family's 1533-position model. The record is from RNAcentral.